RNAcentral lists this long non-coding RNA (1905 nucleotides) under Nicotiana benthamiana. Its description in RNAcentral is "long non-coding RNA (NBEN_LNC034386)". The record is from RNAcentral. Lineage: Eukaryota; Viridiplantae; Streptophyta; Magnoliopsida; Solanales; Solanaceae.
UGACCUAAACCAAUUCGAAUAUAACAUUUCUCAAUGCAAUUUUGUACGAUCAGGAGAAGGAGAUGAAAUCAGUUUUUUAAAGUUUCAUACAAUCCAGACAGUCCAAUUAUAGUUACAAAUGAGAAUCUACUGAAAUUCUGAUACUACAUACGAUACAAUAGGAAAAUCAACGGAGAAUUGAUCGGCACUUUAUUUCAUGUCCUCAAACUUGGAGGUUUACAGGAUGUGUACCUGGAAUUCACAACAAUGAAGAAGGAGAAAUCAAUAGCAGCAAAAGACAGUAACAGCAGCUCAAAACUGAUCUCAAAUCUCAGGACUGAUAUCAAACAAAACCCAGCAAUUGACACAACCAGUAAACAGCCAAAUGACAAACUCAAAGCAGACCAAAUCAACUCAAAAAGAACUCUAGUGAGUUUUAGACCUCAAUUACUAAACAAAACCAAGAAAUUGGUUUUUUAUCUUUGAUCUUAGAUGAGCUAGGAAACUUGAAUUAAAAGCUGGAAUUCGACACUAUUGUAAAGUAACUUUCAGAUUUUCCAAAACUUUUCCAAGGCUAAACAGAUCUAGGAAUAUUGAAACAAAAAUGUAAUGGAAUAAUAUUUUCAGCUGUAUUUUUUUCUGAAUUUAUCUCUAGGCUCAUAAACUUGUAAUACAAGGCAAAGGGUGUACUCUUUAUAGCCAAAAACUAGGGCUACCUUCAGAUUUUUUUUUACACCUCUAAUCCCUCUUUUUUAUUUUUAGUUUUUGCUAGUUAUCCCCUUAUUUAGUUGCUUGUUUUCCAAGUUACAUUACUAAGUUCCCUAAACUCUAAUAGAAAUCCCAUCUAGAAUGUCCCAGGGAUUUCUAAUCCAGUUAUUUGCAGGAUUUCCUAUCUUGAAUUACCUAUACUACCCUAACUCAAUCCUGAAUAUUAGCCUAGUUAAACCCAACCCCAAUCAUGUUAGCUUGGUCAAAUGUCCAUGGUUAAUCAAUCAAAGGCUAGGAAUUGCUCAGCUAUAUCCAAAUAAUAUUCAAUUGAUCCAAUCAUAUUUUUAAUCCUGAAUUACUUGCUAACAGUCCAAGUUAACCAAAUUGUUGGUAAUUAUCAAUAAAACAUGAAUUUCAGGGAACAAGUAAAAAUUAACAAACAACUACUAAAUCAUGGAUUAAAACUGACUUAACAUGAACGAAAACAAACAUUAAGAACAAGAUUAAUCUACAGACUAAAAUCCAAAAAGAAGCCCUAUGAACACAAUGCAAUCAGAAUCAAUUAAACCCUAGAUCAAGGAAUACUAGAUAUGAACGGAAGAACAGCAAAAAAUAGAAGACAGAUGCAAAAAGGAAAAAGGAAUUUAAGAACAAAAAUCAACACACAGGCAGAAAAUGCUAUCCUAUCGAACUAAAUUACUCAAUAAGAAAUCAAAUUGCAGAUUUAAACAAAAUUAAAUAACUCUAAAACAACACAUGAUUGAACUGAUUUACAAAAAACCAGAUUUAAACUCAUUUUUUAAAAAAAAACAAGGGAUUCUAAAGAAGAACUUAUAUAUGCAGGGCUUGAAAUAUAUAUUGGGAUUUGUUUCGAGAAUUCGAGGAGGAGGUCACCAGUUUCGAACCUUCUAGGGUUCUACCUGCCUCUGAUUUAAAAUUCGAGCAUCUCAGGUGAUAUUUGAAGGGAGAUACCAACAGAUUUGGGACGAGGGAAGUAUGGGGGUUGCUUGUGUGAUUUUGAGACGAUUGGUGAGGAUUUAAGAGAAAAGGAGUAUAGAUAUGGACCGGGGAGGUGAAGAAGAUCCUAGGGUGUAAUUUUGGGAGCAUUUGGACGAACGCCGCCGGUGAAGGCGAUUUUCGGCCGGCGGUAGACGGCAGAGGGAUGGUGACUGGCGGCGGAUUUACAUCAGGGUUAUAGGGGUCUGAGAGAUGGUGAGG